CGUAGGCGGAUUAGUAAGUUAAAAGUGAAAUCCCAAGGCUCAACUUUGGAAUUGCUUUUAAAACUGCUAAUCUAGAGAUUGAAAGAGGAUAGAGGAAUUCCUAGUGUAGAGGUGAAAUUCGUAAAUAUUAGGAGGAACACCAGUGGCGAAGGCGUCUAUCUGGUUCAAAUCUGACGCUGAGGCGCGAAGGCGUGGGGAGCAAGCAGGAUUAGAUACCCUGGUAGCCCACGCUGUAAACGAUGAAUGUUAAAUAUGGGAAGUUUUACUUUCUGUAUUACAGCUAACGCGUUAAACAUUCCGCCUGGGGACUACGGUCGCAAGAUUAAAACUCAAAGGAAUUGACGGGGACCCGCACAAGCGGUGGAGCAUGUGGUUUAAUUCGAUGCAACGCGAAAAACCUUACCACUCCUUGACAUGGAAAUUAUACCUAUUCGAAGGGAUAGGGUCGGUUCGGCCGGGUUUCACACAGGUGUUGCAUGGCUGUCGUCAGCUCGUGUCGUGAGAUGUUGGGUUAAGUCCCGCAACGAGCGCAACCCUCAUCCUUAGUUACCAUCAGGUAAUGCUGGGGACUUUAAGGAAACUGCCAGUGAUAAACUGGAGGAAGGUGGGGAUGAUGUCAAGUCAUCAUGGCCCUUAUGGAGUGGGCUACACACGUGCUACAAUGGUGGCUACAAUGGGCUGCAAAGUCGCGAGGCUAAGCUAAUCCCUUAAAAGCCAUCUCAGUUCGGAUUGUACUCUGCAACUCGAGUGCAUGAAGUUGGAAUCGCUAGUAAUCGUGGAUCAGCACGCCACGGUGAAUACGUUCUCGGGUCUUGUACACACUGCCCGUCACGCCAUGGGAAUUGGUUUCACUCGAAGCUAACGACCUAACCGCAAGGAGGGAGUUAUUUAAAGUGGGAUCGGUGACUGGGGUGAAGUCGUAACAAGGUAGCAGUAGGGGAAUCUGCGGC
RNAcentral lists this ribosomal RNA (950 nucleotides) under uncultured bacterium. Its description in RNAcentral is "bacterial SSU rRNA". It matches the Rfam family "Bacterial small subunit ribosomal RNA", at positions 570 to 1518 of the family's 1533-position model. The record is from RNAcentral.